Cavia porcellus (domestic guinea pig) is the source of this 3445-nucleotide long non-coding RNA. RefSeq lists it as uncharacterized. Lineage: Eukaryota; Metazoa; Chordata; Mammalia; Rodentia; Caviidae. The record is from RefSeq and is a predicted model, not a curated record. The transcript is spliced from 4 exons.
UAGCUGAUGCACUGAAAGGAAGGUGGAUGUAUUAUAACCCGCUCCCUGAUAGAGCCAAAUAUGUCAGCUGGCUUUUCUGCAGAAAGGACAGAGCAUCUGGCUGUCACCAGGGCUGCAGCUUUUCAGCAGCACAAAAUAGACAAGCACAUUGCAGCCUUCAACAAACAAACAGUGAGUCCUCCUCCAAGAAACAUUCUCUCUUCUAAAGGCUGCCGAUUUGCCCUUUAGCCAUUCCUGCUCAAGUUCCAUCUUCAACAAGGACUGCUUUUUGAUCAGUACAGUGAUGCCAUUUUUCCCUCCGCUGAGACUCACGACAUAUUCUGUGGCUUAUGUGCUCACGGCUUUGUGUCUCCAGUUGGAUAUGAAGCUGGAAUAAGAUGAAGAGAUGAAAGGAAUUAUACUUCAGUCUCACAAAGCUGUGUCUGGUUUCCUGACUGUGAGAUCACAAAUGUACUUGCCUUCUCUGAAGCUGACUUUCCUCAUCCGUAAAAGAGAAGAGUCCUCAUUUGGGAGAGUGGUUACACAGAUUUAAUGAAAUAGAAACACAGAAAGCCAUUUCUGAGACAAAAUACUUGGUAGUCGCUAAAUAUAUGUGACUUUCCCUUCUUUGAAGACAGGGCUGUGACUCACACUAACAGUAGCACAAGUGAGUAGCAGCCGCUCAUGUGUUUUCAGUUAUGUAGCAGGGUAUGAGUUAUUUUGAGAGGUUUUCAAAAGGUAAUAGAAAUAGUCCGAGGAUCCAGAAAUAUGGUCAGCACAUUAAAAACUUCUUACUACAUGGGGAGAAUAGAGAGUCAGAGAUAUCUGUGAUUAAAACUUCCCUGAAGAGAAAGCAGGGACUUGCACCGCCAGACUCAUAGCAGCUUCACCCACAAAAUUUAGAGGAAAGAACUGAAGUAUCCACUGAUGGAUGGAUGGAUGGAUGGAUGGAUGGAUGGAUCACCAAAACAUGUAAUAUGUCACAAGCAGGCAAGUUCACCACGUCCUCCCACAGCACUGCGCAGAUGUCUCCAUGUCAGCAAGGAGACUGCUGGAAGCCUGUCAUGGAGAGCCGGGGGCACAAAGAAUGUAGAGUCUGCUACCAGUGGAAGGACACACAGGCAAGAAGUCAUAGCAUAUUCCAGAGCCAUCCAUGGAAGUGUCUAUUAAGGAGAGGUGGAAAUACAGCUGUACAGACUGGAGGAGCAGAAUCCUGGGUUUCAAGAGUCUGCAUCUGCUGAGGAGCUCACUUUAUAUCCUGAAAGCUGCAGCAUUUCUGAAGGACCUCAUGCAGGGAAUGGAAGACCAAAAUCAGAAAAUCUCUUUGGAAGCUGAUAGAGGGUGAGGUAAUGCAAGGGCCAGGAAAUCAGUGAGUGUGGGGUUGAUGGUUUGGUAUGAUGGUUACGUGUCAGAAUCGGACAUGAGUCAACCAAAUAGUUGGUUAGGCAUUAUUCUGGGUAUGUCUGUGAGUGUGUUUCUGGAUGGAAUUUAUGUUUGCAUUGGUAGACUGAGUCUUAAAAUACAGACUUUAUUUGCUUCUGCGUGUGUGUGUGUGUGUGUGUGUGUGUGUGUGUGUGUGUGUGUUAUGUGUACAUAUAUCCCAUGGUUCUGUCUUUCUGGAGAACGAUAAUACAUUGGUGUGAUCCUAUUAGUCUCACAGUCUGUUUCCAAGCUUCCCUCCUUUCCAUUUGCUCUUAGUAUUUCUAGACAACUUACAUUUUUAACCUGUCUAAGCAGAUCAGGACUUCCCCUGAUUCCAUACCUAAUUCCCAGUUCCCUGUAACCCCAAUUCCUACCCUAGAGUCAAAAGCCCUCCAUAACCUGGCCUUCCCCUUUGGUUCACCCUUCCUUCCUCUCUCUUUCCUUUGCACCGGUAUCAGCAUCCUAACUCAUCUUGAUCUUUCGUAUAUUUUUGUCGUUUGCUUCCAAUGGUGACAUUGUCUGACACACCCCUUCCCUUUUCUCUCCCUGGAUGCUAACUGCUUAUUAGCAUUUUGUUGACACUUCCUCAAGAAAUCUAUCCCUUGGUUCCCAAAGGUAUGUACCCAAGCUUCCCCAGUUUGUACAUUUCUCCAUUGUGGCAGGCAUUACAUCUUAUCAAAGCAACCUACGUAGUGUCUAUUUCCACAGUUGGAGGAUGGCCCCGAGGGUAUAGACCAUCACUGUUUCAACUUGGAAUCCCAAGAGCCUAUAAGGAGUCAAGUCUUAGGUGCCAAAAUGCUGAGCAUGGACAGAUAUAAAACAUAGAAUGGUGGAAAAGACAAAGGAAGCGGAAAGGAUGAUGUAGAUUCCACUUGCCGUGGUUCAUUCUCCUGUUUAAUGUCCUGUUAAGUGGACAGGAUGAUCCUCUUUUUCUAAAUGAUCCUCUUUCUGAGCAUUAUACACUGUGUUCCAUUGACAGUCAAUAAUCAACUGUGGACUUAUUUUCAUAAGAUGUUUUUUUCUUUUGUACUUGUUAGCUUCAACCAGUUUCUAUUUGGGCUUGAAGAGGCUUGGCUGAUUUCAGGGACAGCUGUCGUCUCUUAUUUUGUACUAGGGAAAUUUUAGGAACUUAUUCUGGUAUUUUGAGGACAUUUGUUCAUAGCAUUGUUUAAUGCAAAGUUAAAUUUUAGGGAUGACAAAAUUUCCAAAACAUGUUCAUUGAUCUUUUGAAUUAAAUGCAUCUGGGUUUUAAAAUUCAUGUCCUAUAAACUUGUACGGGGUGCAGAGAGUUGUAGAGGAGUUAUGCUUUUUAAUGAAAUUUGGCAAAAUAUAAUGUCAAGAUUAAAGAGCAGGCAAAUUUAUUUUUGCAGCUGCUGAUCCUAGGCGUAGUGAUCCUAACCUCUACCAAGCAAGAGGAGAUGAAGCCGGAAUGUAGAAUAUUUAGAAUGAAACCCAGCAGGGGCCACAAAGGUUGGUUUAAUUAUGGUGAAAAGAACACUAAGAGUGAAAACCACUUUUAACAUUCCUGCUACAGAAAAGUAAUUGGUCUCAGUGUUUUGCUGCUGAGCAGUUGGGGAAGUGAAUAUUUCUAUUGCGGCCAAAGCCUGCAGAUUUCUUCUAUGACUCAUCUUCUGUCUGAACUCUGAAAGUCUGGUAUGUGGAAGGGCUAUUGAAGCCACACAUCCUCAUUCCAGUUCACUUGUGUCAAUACAGAGCAAGGCUGUACUUCAGGGUCAGUUCCGUGUGACAGUUCAACCCAGAGUAUAUUUAAUUGGAGGAUAAAGAUAGAUUUUUCAUCUCUGAGUUGUUCUUUAACUGUACUUAUCAUUUUGCACGUAUACAAUAGCAAAAACCACAACACCCUCCCAUCUCCUGUCUUACUCUCUCUGGUGAAGGCUGAUAUAAACACUACUAUCUUGACUUUGGGAAGCAAUGAAUAUUUAUGGACUUCAUUUUUCUCAUGAAAAUUAGAAUAAUAUCUACUUGAUUAAAUGGGAAUAAUAUCUACCUGAUUAAAAGAGUAGAAAUAAAUGGCUUAGCACAA